Molecule: long non-coding RNA, 314 nt
Organism: Coregonus clupeaformis (lake whitefish)
Lineage: Eukaryota; Metazoa; Chordata; Actinopteri; Salmoniformes; Salmonidae
Exons: 3
Source: RefSeq, a predicted model, not a curated record
GGGGGUAGGAAGGGUGUUGGGUGAGGAGGACUGAGGUAUGGGGUAGGAAGGGUGUUGGGUGAGGAGGACUGAGGUAUGGGGGUAGGAAGGGUGAGGACUGAGGUAUGGGGUAGGGAAGGGGUGAGGAGGGGGGAGGAAUGAGGUAUGGUGUUGGUGAGGGAUUGAGGUAUGGUGUUGGGUGAGAAGGGGUGAGGGAUUGAGAUACAUUGAAGGGUGAGGACUGAGGUAUGGGGGUAGGAAGGGUGUUGGGUGAGGAGGACUGAGGUAUGGGGUAGGAAGGGUGUUGGGUGAGGAGGACUGAGGUAUGGGGUAGG